AAUUCUCUAAACAUGCUAUACUUUGAUUUUAGUAAGGAUUUUAAUAAGGUUCCCCGCAGGUUUUUUAAUAAAUAACUCAAAAUUAAGUGGUUUAUCAGACCCCCUGUUGUCAUGGGUAAAAAGUUUUUUAACCAAUCAAAGUUUUGCGGUGAAAGAUA
Non-coding RNA from Tribolium castaneum (red flour beetle), 158 nucleotides. NCBI's taxonomy places the organism in Eukaryota, Metazoa, Arthropoda, Insecta, Coleoptera, Tenebrionidae. The record is from RefSeq and is marked provisional.